This 492-nucleotide ribosomal RNA is filed under the name uncultured bacterium. Its description in RNAcentral is "partial 16S ribosomal RNA". It matches the Rfam family "Bacterial small subunit ribosomal RNA", at positions 29 to 507 of the family's 1533-position model. The record is from RNAcentral.
AGUGAACGCUGGCGGUAGGCCUAACACAUGCAAGUCGAACGGCAGCACAGUAAGAGCUUGCUCUUACGGGUGGCGAGUGGCGGACGGGUGAGGAAUACAUCGGAAUCUACUUUUUCGUGGGGGAUAACGUAGGGAAACUUACGCUAAUACCGCAUACGACCUACGGGGGAAAGCAGGGGAUCUUCGGACCUUGCGCGAUUGAAUGAGCCGAUGUCGGAUUAGCUAGUUGGCGGGGUAAAGGCCCACCAAGGCGACGAUCCGUAGCUGGUCUGAGAGGAUGAUCAGCCACACUGGAACUGAGACACGGUCCAGACUCCUACGGGAGGCAGCAGUGGGGAAUAUUGGACAAUGGGCGAAAGCCUGAUCCAGCCAUACCGCGUGGGUGAAGAAGGCCUUCGGGUUGUAAAGCCCUUUUGUUGGGAAAGAAAAGCAGCAGGUUAAUACCACGCUGUUCUGACGGUACCCAAAGAAUAAGCACCGGCUAACUUCGUG